UGUAAGCGUAUACCAAAGUUGUUGCGGUUAAAACGCUCGUAGUCGGAAUUUGGCAGUUCCGGAUGUGUGCACGUCGUGUGCGCACUUCGCGGGGAUUGCUUUUGUGGUCUUGCGUAGGAUGAGGCACUUUUAUUAGUGAACGUCCUCACGCAACCACUUUUUACUGUGAGAAAAUCAGAGUGCUCAAAGCAGGCAUUUGCCGUGAAUGUAUUAGCAUGGAAUAAUAGGAUAGGACUUGGUUCUAUUUUGUUGGUUUGUUGGGACUGAGUAAUGAUUAAGAGGGACAGUUGGGGGCAUUUGUAUUUCGGUGCUAGAGGUGAAAUUCUUAGAUUACCGAAAGACAAACUGCUGCGAAAGCGUCUGCCAAGGAUGUUUUCAUUGA
RNAcentral lists this ribosomal RNA (382 nucleotides) under uncultured eukaryote. RNAcentral describes it as "partial 18S ribosomal RNA". It matches the Rfam family "Eukaryotic small subunit ribosomal RNA", at positions 592 to 976 of the family's 1831-position model. The record is from RNAcentral.